This 533-nucleotide ribosomal RNA is filed under the name uncultured bacterium. RNAcentral's name for it is "bacterial SSU rRNA". It matches the Rfam family "Bacterial small subunit ribosomal RNA", at positions 8 to 521 of the family's 1533-position model. The record is from RNAcentral.
AGAGUUUGAUCCUGGCUCAGAACAAACGCUGGCGGCGUGCCUAACACAUGCAAGUCGUACGUGAAAGUCCCGCAAGGGACAAGUAAAGUGGCGAACGGGUGAGUAAUACAUAGGUAAUCUACUUAUAAGUUCGGGAUAACAGUUCGAAAGGAUUGCUAAUACCGGAUAAUGUGCUUAGUCAAAAGAUUAAGUACCAAAGGUGGCCUCUUCACAAUGCUACCGAUUAUAAAUGAGCCUAUGGACCAUUAGUUAGUUGGCAGGGUAAUAGCCUACCAAGACAAAGAUGGUUAGCUGGUCUGAGAGGAUGACCAGCCACACUGGAACUGAAACACGGUCCAGACUCCUACGGGAGGCAGCAGUGGGGAAUAUUGCGCAAUGGGGGAAACCCUGACGCACAACGCCGUGUGAGCGAUGAAGGCCUUCGGGUUGUAAAGCUCUGUUAAAUAAGAAGAAACUCCCGUAUUCUAAUACAAUGCGGGAUUGACGGUAUUAUUAGAGAAAGCACCGGCUAACUCCGUGCCAGCCGCCGCGGU